This is a long non-coding RNA of Notolabrus celidotus (New Zealand spotty), 1734 nucleotides long. RefSeq lists it as uncharacterized. The record is from RefSeq and is a predicted model, not a curated record. The transcript is spliced from 3 exons. Lineage: Eukaryota; Metazoa; Chordata; Actinopteri; Labriformes; Labridae.
GGUGAAUGGAACACUGGUUCUUAACAAGACAGUAAGGACCCAACAAGACAUGCGCUGAACAUCUUUUGUGAUUGCUGUCCCUCUGGUGGAUGAUGGAUACGUUGGUGUACAAUGAGGUCUGAGCCUACACAUGUUUUCAAAAAGGGCGGCCCUGUGCACACUGAUUUCCAGCUCUAAUAUACCGAGGAGGACACCCACAUCUGAAAUGAAUGACCGCAGCUCAAAGUUACAGAAACAUCCACCACACCAGAGAGCAGAGGCUUGCAGUAUCUGAAGAACCAUGUCCAGGAUGUUUUGCCUGCUGAUAGUGUCCAAAUUCCUAUAGAAGUACAGAGCUGUAGAGUUAAGACCACUGUGAUUUCACCUUGUGAUUUGCAUGCAGCUCUGCCAGUGCCAUUUGUCACAUUACAUCACCCCUUUGUGUGUCCAGCAACAAUCUGACCCCUGUAAUCCACCAGUUUACUAUCACAGCCCCCGAUCGGCCCUCUCCAGCUGGCCACAGAGAGGCAGCAUAUUUUACAUUGAUGUAACAUAAGAACAUGAAAGAGCGACACCCUGGUGUGAAAAGAAUGGUUUUGGAGGUGCCGGAUGCCAGCCCCAUCUCAAACACAGCUGGUGUACACACCGCCUCUCACUGAGGUAUUAUGGCCAGUCAACACAGCAGAUCUACUUUACAUAUCACUGGAUUAAUGCAAGGCUUUGAUUUUGUGUGUGUGCGCAUUGCAGGUCAGACUCUGCUCCAUUUUACAGAACAAAUCAGUGACAGGCAGGCAUGUAACUAUUAUAGGCGUUCAGUAAUGCCUACCCUCAGGGCGCUCUGUGAUUUCCUUUAGUAGCCUGUGAUUUAGUCCAUUAUAAAAACCUGUUAAACUCAGGCUGCCGCAGCAAAUAAAACACACACUAAAUGGAGAUGGAAACAGAAGGAAAAUCUGCCCUGGAGCUGACUUCAUUAUGAGACCAGUGUAAAAAAACAAAACAGUUACAAGCAUCUUGAUCCCAAAUAAUUGAUUUUCAAAACUUGUGACACAGAACAAAUAUAUAUACACAAAUAAGACUAGCUUGUCAAUUGUUGCACAUGCAUUCUCCUGACCCACAAAUUUACAGGAUAUGUUUACAUGAUUAACCACACACUGUACGUUUGACACAUGCAGAGGAGUCAUUCAAACCUUCCUUUGCUCUCUGCUGAUUUCUCCAGAUCAACACACGCAACUCCUACUCUUUUCAGGAUCAUACCUUCACUACGAAAGGAUGACAUGUUUUCAGAAUCUGAUCACAGGUUUAUCAUGACGUUAGUUUCAUCAUGAUUCCUUACGAGCUGUCAUGUGGUUAUAAGAAAUGUUUCUCAGCAGCUGACCCCAUGUUUGGAAGAAGUUUACCAUGAAGAGAGGUGUGAGACACUAGUCAGCGGCUUGAGGAAUACUCUGAGUCAGACAUGCAUUGGUAAACACAGACUGCUCUUACUGACCUUCCAGUUGCUGUUUGAACUCCAGCAGCAUAACAAUAAGCUCGUCACAGUGCAUUAUGUCUUUUUUUUCUGAGGUGUCUGAGGCUCUGUUUUUAAUACCUCAGAAAGAUUGGACAGCCGCUAGAACACCUUUUACAGUCGCUAAAAUGCUAUACAGCAAGAGGAGUUGAUGGAUAAAAGGUACAACUGUUUGUGUUAUAUUUUCCCCCAAAUAAAAUUAAAUAAAUUAGCCCAUGUGUUAGAUUUUUAGAGAUUAGUCUUGUUAUUGA